Molecule: long non-coding RNA, 563 nt
Filed under: Homo sapiens (human)
Lineage: Eukaryota; Metazoa; Chordata; Mammalia; Primates; Hominidae
Description: non-protein coding LINC01758:4
Source: RNAcentral
AAAUACCUGACUGAUCUUACAGUGAGGAGAAUAUAGGAUGGAAUGGAUAUAAGAGCAAUCCCAUUAAAGACUACCUGUGGCUAUUAGUCACCUUCCAAACAAAAGAUGCUGAGUUCUCUAAAUUGCUUUAUGUGAGAUGUAACACAAAACCACAUGGUUCACCACUACAGGAAUAGUGUGGAAAACCAGGUGGUAAUAAGGGUCUGCCAACCAAGACAAGGAACUCCAGAAAACUAUUAUUGAUGAUCACAGCAAAACCUCUGCAGAAAUUUCACAUCUGCUGAAGCCCAUGGCAUUUGCCUAGUACUGCCAAAGGAAAAAAUAAUGUCUUCUGGUCUCCAUUCCACCUUCAAAAUCAUGCUCCAGUGCACCUUGUUGUUAGAACAUAAAUUGUAUUCUAUUCCACAGAGUCAAGAGAAUCUAGAGAAUUUGAUUUCUAAAUUCCCAGCUCCUUCAAAACAGAAGAAACCUUAGAAGGGUUUUGCUGCUUGCAAAAUGAAAUUAAACCUGCACACUUAUUUCUGUUCUCUUAAUAAAGACUUUGAAGAGAUUAAUUCAUGAUA